This 391-nucleotide ribosomal RNA is filed under the name Osedax crouchi. RNAcentral's name for it is "partial 16S ribosomal RNA". It matches the Rfam family "Bacterial large subunit ribosomal RNA", at positions 1944 to 2542 of the family's 2925-position model. The record is from RNAcentral. Lineage: Eukaryota; Metazoa; Annelida; Polychaeta; Sabellida; Siboglinidae.
GACCGUGCUAAGGUAGCAUAAUCAUUUGCCUCUUAAUUAGAGGCUGGAAUGAAUGGACACACGAAAUCUUUACUGUCUCAUAAGUUUUAAUAAAAGUUUUUCUCUGAGUGAAGAAACUCAGAUUAAUUUGAAAGACAAGAAGACCCUAAUGAGCUUUAAUUCUGUUAUAUUCCUCACCGAAAUUUUAAUUAUCUAGAAAAUAUCGCAGAAUUUUUGUUGGGGCGACAAAAGAAACACAAUUACUUCUUUACAUUAACUUAGAGCAAUAACUCUCUACAAUUGACCUAAUUUUAAUUAAUCAAUAGCACUAGCUACCAUAGGGAUAACAGACUAAUUUUUCUCCAGAGCUCAAAUUUACAGAAAAGAUUGGCACCUCGAUGUUGGCUUAGGA